Paramacrobiotus metropolitanus is the source of this 387-nucleotide long non-coding RNA. RefSeq lists it as uncharacterized. Lineage: Eukaryota; Metazoa; Tardigrada; Eutardigrada; Parachela; Macrobiotidae. The transcript is spliced from 3 exons. The record is from RefSeq and is a predicted model, not a curated record.
GUGAGAAGUUUGUUGUGUGGAUUGUGUUGUAAGAUCUUAUUUUAUAGUUUGAAUUAAGGUUGUUGUAGUAAGGUGGAGAGUGAUUUGGAGUGCCUGGGAAAGGUGUUUGAAGGGAUUUUGGCAGAUUUGUGACAAAUUAAAUUUGGAAAAAUUUGGAGAACAUGAUUUUCUUUCCGAUUUUUGUUCCGAAUGUUUGGUUGUAUGUUGGAGUUGUUUUUGUAUACAUGCCAUUUCAGGUGUAUGGUUAUUAUUGGUAUUGAAAGGAAAGUGGGGGACAAGAAUUUGGUAAAGUUAUACAAAGAUGGAAAAAAGAGGUGUUAAGCGAAAGUGUGAAAAGAGUUAAAAAUAUACAAAUGUGUGCAAUUGUGUAUUAAAAAAAAGAAAAGA